RNAcentral lists this ribosomal RNA (897 nucleotides) under uncultured bacterium. RNAcentral's name for it is "bacterial SSU rRNA". It matches the Rfam family "Bacterial small subunit ribosomal RNA", at positions 8 to 916 of the family's 1533-position model. The record is from RNAcentral.
AGAGUUUGAUCAUGGCUCAGGACGAACGCUGGCGGCGUGCUUAACACAUGCAAGUCGAACGAUGAUCCAGAGCUUGCUCUGGUGAUUAGUGGCGAACGGGUGAGUAACACGUGAGUAACCUGCCCUUGACUCUGGGAUAAGCGUUGGAAACGACGUCUAAUACCGGAUACGACCAGCCCCGGCAUCGGGUGUUGGUGGAAAGAAUUUUGGUCAAGGAUGGACUCGCGGCCUAUCAGGUAGUUGGUGAGGUAAUGGCUCACCAAGCCUACGACGGGUAGCCGGCCUGAGAGGGUGACCGGCCACACUGGGACUGAGACACGGCCCAGACUCCUACGGGAGGCAGCAGUGGGGAAUAUUGCACAAUGGGCGAAAGCCUGAUGCAGCAACGCCGCGUGAGGGACGACGGCCUUCGGGUUGUAAACCUCUUUUAGCAGGGAAGAAGCGAAAGUGACGGUACCUGCAGAAAAAGCACCGGCUAACUACGUGCCAGCAGCCGCGGUAAUACGUAGGGUGCAAGCGUUGUCCGGAAUUAUUGGGCGUAAAGAGCUCGUAGGCGGUUUGUCGCGUCUGCUGUGAAAACCCGAGGCUCAACCUCGGGCCUGCAGUGGGUACGGACAGACUAGAGUGCGGUAGGGGAGAUUGGAAUUCCUGGUUUAGCGGUGGAAUGCGCAGAUAUCAGGAGGAACACCGAUGGCGAAGACAGAUCUCUGGGCCGUAACUGACGCUGAGGAGCGAAAGGGUGGGGAGCAAACAGGCUUAGAUACCCUGGUAGUCCACCCCGUAAACGUUGGGAACUAGAUGUGGGGACCAUUCCACGGUCUCCGUGUUGCAGCUAACGCAUUAAGUUCCCCGCCUGGGGAGUACGGCCGCAAGGCUGAAACUCAAAGGAAUUGACGG